AUAGUACUCCCUCCGUUCCACAAUACAUGACUUCCAUUUAUUAAAAUAUAGAUGUAUCUACACAUGUUUUAGUAUAUAGGUACAUCCAUUUUUGAACAAAUGAAAAUCAAGUAAUUUUGAACGGAGGGAGUACAUG
This is a non-coding RNA of Triticum aestivum (bread wheat), 136 nucleotides long. NCBI's taxonomy places the organism in Eukaryota, Viridiplantae, Streptophyta, Magnoliopsida, Poales, Poaceae. The record is from Rfam.